This 255-nucleotide ribosomal RNA is filed under the name uncultured bacterium. Its description in RNAcentral is "partial 16S ribosomal RNA". It matches the Rfam family "Bacterial small subunit ribosomal RNA", at positions 524 to 777 of the family's 1533-position model. The record is from RNAcentral.
GACAGAGGUUGCAAACGUUGUUCGGAAUUACUGGGCAUAAAGCGCACGUAGGCGGUCCGUUAAGUCAUGUGUGAAAUCCCCCGGCUCAACCGGGGAAUUGCGCCUGAUGACUGGCGGGCUAGAGAUCGAUAGGGGUGAGUGGAACUCCAGGUGGAGCGGUGAAAUGCGUAGAUAUCUGGAGGAACACCGGUGGCGAAAGCGGCUCACUGGAUCGAUACUGACGCUGAGGUGCGAAAGCUAGGGUAGCAAACGGGG